GCAGGAUCAACCAGGUAGCAUUCCUCACUGACACCGGCAUUGCAAGACGGUGCCAAAACCGCAAGGGCCCUAGCACGUCAAUACAGCACCGGACGUCAUUCGUUUGUGCGAAUUACGCUAAUUUUGGGCAAAAGGAAGUCAUCGACCCCAUACCCUCUAGAUAUUCCGCAUUCGAGAGCUCAAGCAAAAAUUCGUGGGCCGCAACAACAACACGACGGGUGAGUAGCACGGGACACAAAUAAUGCUUUGAAGUUCACCCGAAACCGCACCCUUGGAAGGGGCAACACUAGGCGAACGAUGGGCAAAUUGACAAUCGAAUUCCAUUGGUGUAGGUAUGCAACACAGGAAACCGCAACAUACGGCCAAGGCUAAUAUUGCUCUUGGGCCCGACAAGUGAAGAGGAUUGUAUGGGAGGACGUCGCUGCCCAAGCAGAGAUCCA
RNAcentral lists this unclassified non-coding RNA (440 nucleotides) under Pauridiantha arcuata. RNAcentral describes it as "Stelechantha arcuata partial external transcribed spacer". Lineage: Eukaryota; Viridiplantae; Streptophyta; Magnoliopsida; Gentianales; Rubiaceae. The record is from RNAcentral.